Molecule: ribosomal RNA, 708 nt
Filed under: uncultured Bacillus sp.
Lineage: Bacteria; Bacillati; Bacillota; Bacilli; Caryophanales; Bacillaceae
Description: bacterial SSU rRNA
Rfam family: Bacterial small subunit ribosomal RNA
Source: RNAcentral
UGCAGUCGAGCGAAUCAAUAGGAGCUUGCUCCUGUUGGUUAGCGGCGGACGGGUGAGUAACACGUGGGCAACCUGCCUGUAAGACUGGGAUAACACCGGGAAACCGGUGCUAAUACCGGAUAAUCCUUUUCCUCUCAUGAGGAAAAGCUGAAAGUCGGUUCCGGCUGACACUUACAGAUGGGCCCGCGGCGCAUUAGCUAGUUGGUGAGGUAACGGCUCACCAAGGCGACGAUGCGUAGCCGACCUGAGAGGGUGAUCGGCCACACUGGGACUGAGACACGGCCCAGACUCCUACGGGAGGCAGCAGUAGGGAAUCUUCCACAAUGGACGAAAGUCUGAUGGAGCAACGCCGCGUGAGCGAUGAAGGCCUUCGGGUCGUAAAGCUCUGUUGUUAGGGAAGAACUAGUACCGGAGUAACUGCCGGUACCUUGACGGUACCUAACCAGAAAGCCACGGCUAACUACGUGCCAGCAGCCGCGGUAAUACGUAGGUGGCAAGCGUUGUCCGGAAUUAUUGGGCGUAAAGCGCGCGCAGGCGGUCCUUUAAGUCUGAUGUGAAAGCCCACGGCUCAACCGUGGAGGGUCAUUGGAAACUGGGGGACUUGAGUGCAGAAGAGGAAAGCGGAAUUCCACGUGUAGCGGUGAAAUGCGUAGAGAUGUGGAGGAACACCAGUGGCGAAGGCGGCUUUCUGGUCUGUAACUGACGCUG